This is a small nucleolar RNA of Dictyostelium discoideum AX4, 81 nucleotides long. It matches the Rfam family "Dictyostelium snoRNA DdR10". The record is from Rfam. Lineage: Eukaryota; Evosea; Eumycetozoa; Dictyosteliales; Dictyosteliaceae.
UUAAUGAUGAUACACAAAAUCAUAUGUCAAUUCCUUUAACAUGAAAUAGAAUGAUUAUAACGAUUUUCCAUUUAACUGACA